UUCAACUCAUGACCCCGAGAUCAAGGGUCGUGUGCUCUACAGAAAUAAACCAGCCAGGCCCCCUGAGUUGAAUCUUGAAGAGACCAGUGUCAGGCACUGAGCACAACUCUUGCAAAGCUCUGGAAAUGUGAGCUUCGCCUCCUCGCCCUGCACGUUCUUCCCAUCGCCUGGACCAGCACAGCCUUCCGAUGAGCACAUUUGCACCCAUUUUUCAGAGCCCAACACUGAGUUUCAGUCCCCUGUUCCGUCUGCUGACGUUCCCGGAAAGGCCAUGCUUUCACGAGGCGUCACCAUCGGCACAUCCGCUAAGCCUCCGAUGGCCCCAUCCAGAGGCUUGGUCGAAACAGGCAGGGCCAGAAGCACAGACCCGUGGCCCUGCCUUAGAGACUCGUACUUCCGGCUGCACUGAUGUACAGAGUAUGGUCUCUGGGGGCACCUGGGUGGCA
This is a long non-coding RNA of Hyaena hyaena (striped hyena), 446 nucleotides long. RefSeq lists it as uncharacterized. NCBI's taxonomy places the organism in Eukaryota, Metazoa, Chordata, Mammalia, Carnivora, Hyaenidae. The transcript has 3 exons. The record is from RefSeq and is a predicted model, not a curated record.